This 497-nucleotide ribosomal RNA is filed under the name uncultured bacterium. Its description in RNAcentral is "partial 16S ribosomal RNA". It matches the Rfam family "Bacterial small subunit ribosomal RNA", at positions 28 to 507 of the family's 1533-position model. The record is from RNAcentral.
GAUGAACGCUGGCGGCGUGCCUAAUACAUGCAAGUCGAGCGAACAGACGAGGAGCUUGCUCCUCUGACGUUAGCGGCGGACGGGUGAGUAACACGUGGAUAACCUACCUAUAAGACUGGGAUAACUUCGGGAAACCGGAGCUAAUACCGGAUAACAUGUUGAACCGCAUGGUUCAACAGUGAAAGACGGUUUUGCUGUCACUUAUGGAUGGAUCCGCGCCGCAUUAGCUAGUUGGUAAGGUAACGGCUUACCAAGGCAACGAUGCGUAGCCGACCUGAGAGGGUGAUCGGCCACACUGGAACUGAGACACGGUCCAGACUCCUACGGGAGGCAGCAGUAGGGAAUCUUCCGCAAUGGGCGAAAGCCUGACGGAGCAACGCCGCGUGAGUGAAGAAGGUCUUCGGAUCGUAAAACUCUGUUAUUAGGGAAGAACAAAUGUGUAAGUAACUAUGCACGUCUUGACGGUACCUAAUCAGAAAGCCACGGCUAACUACGUG